Molecule: non-coding RNA, 203 nt
Organism: Cinara cedri
Lineage: Eukaryota; Metazoa; Arthropoda; Insecta; Hemiptera; Aphididae
Source: the annotation of a GenBank genome assembly
UAUUAUUAUAUUAGUAUCGUUGUCGAAUGCCAUUGUAAGUAUAAUCUUUUCGAUUGUGAAACGACGACGGACCGCGAAUUUCCCUAAAACCGUCCGUAAUAUAGGUUUAUAAUAAUAUACCAGCUACGAACACCCGGAAUCGCGUCCGGUAACCUUCCGACGGACUAUGUCCGUGUACACGAUGACGCCGAGCCAUGUUCCGA